RNAcentral lists this ribosomal RNA (238 nucleotides) under uncultured bacterium. Its description in RNAcentral is "partial 16S ribosomal RNA". It matches the Rfam family "Bacterial small subunit ribosomal RNA", at positions 96 to 334 of the family's 1533-position model. The record is from RNAcentral.
CGGCGGACGGGUGAGUAACGCGUGGGUAACCUGCCUCAUACAGGGGGAUAACAGUUAGAAAUGGCUGCUAAUACCGCAUAAGCGCACAGGACCGCAUGGUCUGGUGUGAAAAACUCCGGUGGUAUGAGAUGGACCCGCGUCUGAUUAGCUAGUUGGAGGGGUAACGGCCCACCAAGGCGACGAUCAGUAGCCGACCUGAGAGGGUGACCGGCCACAUUGGGACUGAGACACGGCCCAA